GGGUCAGUAGGUUGGUCGUGCCACCGGUACGUACUGGUCUCACUGAUUCCUCCUUCCUGAAGAACCGUAAUGCCAUUAAUUUGGUGUUGCGGGGAAACAGGACUGUUACUUUGAAAAAAUUAGAGUGUUUAAAGCAAGCUAACGCUUUAAUACAUUAGCAUGGAAUAAUGAAAUAGGGCGAUCGAUCCUAUUUUGUUGGUUUCUAGGAUUGACGUA
RNAcentral lists this ribosomal RNA (216 nucleotides) under Glomeromycotina sp. Its description in RNAcentral is "partial small subunit ribosomal RNA". The stretch from base 40 to 216 matches the Rfam family "Eukaryotic small subunit ribosomal RNA", at positions 686 to 864 of the family's 1831-position model. Lineage: Eukaryota; Fungi; Glomeromycota. The record is from RNAcentral.